CCGGAUGGCCUUUCAAGCUUUCGGGCUGGAAAGAAAAGGUAGCUUCGGCCUCCGACCGAGGAUGAGCCCGCGGCGGAUUAGCUAGUUGGUGGGGUAAUGGCCCACCAAGGCAACGAUCCGUAGCUGGUCUGAGAGGACGAUCAGCCACACUGGGACUGAGACACGGCCCAGACUCCUACGGGAGGCAGCAGUGGGGAAUCUUGUCCAAUGGGCGAAAGCCUGAGACAGCGACGCCGCGUGCGGGAAGAAGGCCUUCGGGUUGUAAACCGCUUUCAGGAGGGACGAAGCCACUCGGGUUAAUAGCCCAGAGGGUGACGGUACCUCCAGAAGAAGCCCCGGCUAACUACGUGCCAGCAGCCGCGGUAAUACGUAGGGGGCAAGCGUUGUCCGGAUUUAUUGGGCGUAAAGAGCGUGUAGGCGGCUAGGUAGGUCCGUUGUGAAAACUCGAGGCUCAACCUCGAGACGUCGAUGGAAACCAUCUGGCUAGAGUCCGGAAGAGGAGAGUGGAAUUCCUGGUGUAGCGGUGAAAUGCGCAGAUAUCAGGAAGAACACCCGUGGCGAAGGCGGCUCUCUGGGACGUGACUGACGCUGAGACGCGAAAGCGUGGGGAGCGAACAGGAUUAGAUACCCUGGUAGUCCACGCUGUAAACGAUGGGUGCUAGGUGUGGGGGGUGUCGACUCCCUCCGUGCCGAAGCUAACGCAUUAAGCACCCCGCCUGGGGAGUACGGCCGCAAGGCUAAAACUCAAAGGAAUUGACGGAAUCGAAUU
RNAcentral lists this ribosomal RNA (769 nucleotides) under uncultured bacterium. RNAcentral's name for it is "bacterial SSU rRNA". It matches the Rfam family "Bacterial small subunit ribosomal RNA", at positions 169 to 925 of the family's 1533-position model. The record is from RNAcentral.